UGAGGAAUAUUGGUCAAUGGGCGCGAGCCUGAACCAGCCAAGUCGCGUGAAGGAAGAAGGUUCUAUGGAUUGUAAACUUCUUUUGUAAGGGAAUAAAAAGUGGUACGUGUACCAUAUUGUAUGUACUUUACGAAUAAGGAUCGGCUAACUCCGUGCCAGCAGCCGCGGUAAUACGGAGGAUCCGAGCGUUAUCCGGAUUUAUUGGGUUUAAAGGGUGCGUAGGCGGAUUGAUAAGUCAGCGGUGAAAGUUUGCAGCUCAACUGUAAAAUGGCCAUUGAAACUGUCGAUCUUGAGUGCAAAUGAGGUAGGCGGAAUGUGUUGUGUAGCGGUGAAAUGCUUAGAUAUGACACAGAACCCCGAUUGCGAAGGCAGCUUACUGGGAUGCAACUGACGCUGAGGCACGAAAGCGUGGGGAUCAAACA
RNAcentral lists this ribosomal RNA (422 nucleotides) under uncultured prokaryote. Its description in RNAcentral is "bacterial SSU rRNA". It matches the Rfam family "Bacterial small subunit ribosomal RNA", at positions 355 to 774 of the family's 1533-position model. The record is from RNAcentral.